This 757-nucleotide non-coding RNA is filed under the name Pedionis papillata. The record is from RNAcentral. Lineage: Eukaryota; Metazoa; Arthropoda; Insecta; Hemiptera; Cicadellidae.
AAAAAGUUUUGUAAAGUUUGAUUCUUGCUUUUUUGUUAAUUUUUAUUUUAAAUUAUAUGUAUAUAUUAAUAUUUAAUUAUUAUUUUUCAGUAAUUAAUUUUAUCUUACAAAUUUAUAUUUUUUUAGUAAUUAUAAUUAGGAUAGAUUAAUUUUGUGCCAGCAUUCGCGGUUACACAACUUAUUCAAGUUAAUUUUUUAGGUAAACAUUUAUUUUUAUUAUUAAAUUUAAAUUAUUAUAUUUAGGUGGAAUUUAUAUUUUAUAAUUAUUCUUUUCAUUUUAUUAUUGUGAAAUUUAAAUUUUAAACUAGGAUUAGAUACCCUAUUAUUUUUUAUAUAAAAUUUUUUCCUGAAUAUUAAUAGUUAUGUUCUUUAAACUCAAAGAAUUUGGCGGUAAUUUAUCUUUUUAGAGGAACCUGAUUUUUAAUUGAUAAACCACGAUAGGACCAACUUUAAAAUUUUACUUGUAUACCUCUAUAUAUGGAAAAUCUUAAUAGAGUUAUAAUUUUCUUUUUUUAUGUAAAUUAAUAUUAGGUCAAGGUGCAGUUUUAUUAAAGUUAAAUUGGGUUACUAAAAAUUUUAAUUUUUAAUUUUAUAAUUAAUUUUAUUUUUUGUUGUAUUAGGAUUUAAUAGUAAUUUUAAUUAAUUAGUUGUUUUGAAUUUAGCCCUAAAUUAUGUACAUAUCGCCCGUCACUCUCAAUAAUAUGGGAUAAGUCGUAACAAAGUAGUUGUACCGGAAGGUGUGGCUAGUAAGUUAAUA